AUUGAACGCUGGCGGCAUGCCUUACACAUGCAAGUCGAACGGUAACAGGUCUUCGGAUGCUGACGAGUGGCGAACGGGUGAGUAAUACAUCGGAACGUGCCUAGUAGUGGGGGAUAACUACUCGAAAGAGUGGCUAAUACCGCAUGAGAUCUACGGAUGAAAGCAGGGGAUCGCAAGACCUUGUGCUACUAGAGCGGCCGAUGGCAGAUUAGGUAGUUGGUGGGAUAAAAGCUUACCAAGCCGACGAUCUGUAGCUGGUCUGAGAGGACGAUCAGCCAAACUGGGACUGAGACACAGGCCAGACUCCUACGGGAGGCAGCAGUGGGGAAUUUUGGACAAUGGGCGCAAGCCUGAUCCAGCAAUGCCGCGUGCAGGAUGAAGGCCUUCGGGUUGUAAACUGCUUUUGUACGGAACGAAAAGCCCUGGGUUAAUACCCUGGGGUCAUGACGGUACCGUAAGAAUAAGCACCGGCUAACUACGUGCCAGCCGCCGCCGUAA
Molecule: ribosomal RNA, 498 nt
Filed under: uncultured bacterium
Lineage: Bacteria
Description: partial 16S ribosomal RNA
Rfam family: Bacterial small subunit ribosomal RNA
Source: RNAcentral